CGCACGGGUGCGUAACGCGUAUGCAAUCUACCUUUUACAGGGGGAUAGCCCAGAGAAAUUUGGAUUAAUACCCCAUAGUAUUAUUGAAUGGCAUCAUUUAAUAAUUAAAGUCACAACGGUAAAAGAUGAGCAUGCGUCCCAUUAGCUAGUUGGUAUGGUAACGGCAUACCAAGGCAAUGAUGGGUAGGGGUCCUGAGAGGGAGAUCCCCCACACUGGUACUGAGACACGGACCAGACUCCUACGGGAGGCAGCAGUGAGGAAUAUUGGACAAUGGGCGCAAGCCUGAUCCAGCCAUGCCGCGUGCAGGAUGACGGUCCUAUGGAUUGUAAACUGCUUUUAUACAGGAAGAAACCCCUUUACGUGUAGAGGAUUGACGGUACUGUAGGAAUAAGGAUCGGCUAACUCCGUGCCAGCAGCCGCGGUAAUACGGAGGAUCCAAGCGUUAUCCGGAAUCAUUGGGUUUAAAGGGUCCGUAGGCGGCCUUAUAAGUCAGUGGUGAAAUCUCACGGCUCAACCGUGAAAUGGCCAUUGAUACUGUAGGGCUUGAAUUACUGUGAAGUAACUAGAAUAUGUAGUGUA
RNAcentral lists this ribosomal RNA (580 nucleotides) under uncultured Bacteroidota bacterium. RNAcentral's name for it is "bacterial SSU rRNA". It matches the Rfam family "Bacterial small subunit ribosomal RNA", at positions 99 to 677 of the family's 1533-position model. Lineage: Bacteria; Pseudomonadati; Bacteroidota. The record is from RNAcentral.